GAUGAACGCUGGCGGCGUGCCUAAUACAUGCAGGUCGAGCGAACGGACGAGAAGCUUGCUUCUCUGAUGUUAGCGGCGGACGGGUGAGUAACACGUGGAUAACCUACCUAUAAGACUGGGAUAACUUCGGGAAACCGGAGCUAAUACCGGAUAAUAUUUUGAACCGCAUGGUUCAAAAGUGAAAGACGGUCUUGCUGUCACUUAUAGAUGGAUCCGCGCUGCAUUAGCUAGUUGGUAAGGUAACGGCUUACCAGGGCAACGAUGCAUAGCCGACCUGAGAGGGUGAUCGGCCACACUGGAACUGAGACACGGUCCAGACUCCUACGGGAGGCAGCAGUAGGGAAUCUUCCGCAAUGGGCGAAAGCCUGACGGAGCAACGCCGCGUGAGUGAUGAAGGUCUUCGGAUCGUAAAACUCUGUUAUUAGGGAAGAACAUAUGUGUAAGUAACUGUGCACAUCUUGACGGUACCUAAUCAGAAAGCCACGGCUAACUACGUG
Molecule: ribosomal RNA, 497 nt
Filed under: uncultured bacterium
Lineage: Bacteria
Description: partial 16S ribosomal RNA
Rfam family: Bacterial small subunit ribosomal RNA
Source: RNAcentral